Molecule: ribosomal RNA, 984 nt
Filed under: Triticum aestivum (bread wheat)
Lineage: Eukaryota; Viridiplantae; Streptophyta; Magnoliopsida; Poales; Poaceae
Description: partial small subunit ribosomal RNA
Source: RNAcentral
AUGAGCUUUGACUCCCCUUUCGUGGAUGAUUCAUCGUCGGACGAGAAAUUUGAUUUGCAUGAAGAAGAGGAGAUUGGUAUGCUAGUGGCCAUGCACAAGAGGAAGAAACCGAAGCACAGUGGUUCCGUUUAUGGUCGUGCGUUCAUUAGGAGAGAACGGAUUGAUGCGCACAAACGGUUGGUGUGCAACUACUUUGCAUCAUCACCUGUUUUUUCGGAGAAUUACUUUCGACGUCGUUUCAGAAUGUCGAAAGACUUGUUCUUCCGCAUUUGCAAUUCCGUGAAGCAGCAUAAUCCAGUCUUCGAGCAGAGAAGGAACUGUGCCGGGUUGCUUGGCCAUAGCAUUGAGCGGAAGGUCACUGCCGCUUUGCGCAUGAUGGCAUAUGGUGUUCCGGCAGAUUACAUUGAUGACAACUUGGCGAUGGCAGAGAGCACUUCUAUCUUCUAUGUCAAGCAAUUCGCAAUAGCUAUGGUAGAAGUGUUCGGUCCACAAUACUUGCAAGCACCCAAUGCUCAGGAAACUCAGAGACUUUUGGAGAUGAACAAAGCUCGAGGGUUUCCAGCAAAUGGAGAAGCACCACAGGUGACCUUCGAAGCAAAUGGUCGCACCUACAACUAUGGGUACUAUCUUGCAGAUGGGAUCUACCCGAGGUGGAGUACAUUCGUCAAGCCGGUUGCAAAACCUGAAGGUAAAAAAGAACUUGUUUUUCAUAAUGCACAAGCGGCGGCUAGAAAAGAUGUUGAGAGGGCAUUUGGUAUUUUACAAUCCCAAUUUGCUAUUGUGCGAGGACCAUCUAGAUUUUGGGAUCAAAAUAUCCUUUGGUACAUCAUGACCGCUUGCGUGAUCAUGCAUAACAUGAUCAUUGAGAACGAGCGUGGAAAACAUUUAGAUUACAACUUCUAUCAUUUGAUGGGCAUUCCUGUUAACCCCAUGCGAAAAAGAACAUCGCAUCAGACGUUCCAUGAAGGUGUACAGCGAGAUUAG